Rosa rugosa (rugosa rose) is the source of this 759-nucleotide long non-coding RNA. RefSeq lists it as uncharacterized. The transcript is spliced from 3 exons. The record is from RefSeq and is a predicted model, not a curated record. Lineage: Eukaryota; Viridiplantae; Streptophyta; Magnoliopsida; Rosales; Rosaceae.
UCAUUCUCUGGUGGAAAGAAAUUUGGUUUUUUGGCUUUUGGUAUUUGACAAUUUAUGACUUCUUUAAUGUUUUGUUGGCAUGCUUUUCUGAUUUCAUUUUUUGGGCUAUUUGGGAUUUGCAGGAUUGUGCUUGGUAAUGGCUGUGAUUGUUUUGAUUCAGCUCUGAGUUAUUGGCUUUGGUUGCAUGUCCUGAAAGGGAAGGGAAACAGGUUAUGGUUCCGGGCCUACUGCCAAGAAUUGGUUCUGGUUAUGAUGAUCUCUGCAUAUGCUGCCUAGACAUCCGACGACAUUGCACCUGCAAUUUCACUCACAGAGAAUGCAUCAAAGCACUUCAAUAAGAUGAGAUCCAAACAUAAUGAGGAUCUAUGCCUGGGAAUUGGUGUUAAACAGGGUGGAUAUUCGGGCAUGUUGUAUACCAUGGACUUCUAUAGUAAAGAAAAUGCAAGACCAGAUGAUUCAACCAUUGAAUAUAAUGGUUUUAAGAUAGCAUCAUUUUCGAUUGACUGUCAAAGAAUGGAAGAAUUUAUGAGGAAGCUAGUACCAAGCAUUUGAAUGAAUAUGGAGAAGCUGGGUUGCGUACGUUGACGCUUGCUUAUAAAAAGCUUGAGGAGUCUGAGUAUUCUGCUUGGAACAAUGAAUUUCAAAAGCAAAAUCAUCUAUCGGGGCUGAUAGGGAGGUGAUGCUCGAGCGAGUAGCAGAGAAGAUGGAAAAAGACUUGAUCAUGGUUGGUGCUACAGCUGUGGAGGACAAAUUGCAAAA